RNAcentral lists this signal recognition particle RNA (299 nucleotides) under Saimiri boliviensis boliviensis (Bolivian squirrel monkey). RNAcentral's name for it is "Metazoan signal recognition particle RNA (ENSSBOG00000000254.1)". It matches the Rfam family "Metazoan signal recognition particle RNA". From Rfam's summary of the family: The signal recognition particle (SRP) is a universally conserved ribonucleoprotein. It is involved in the co-translational targeting of proteins to membranes. The eukaryotic SRP consists of a 300-nucleotide 7S RNA and six proteins: SRPs 72, 68, 54, 19, 14, and 9. The record is from RNAcentral. Lineage: Eukaryota; Metazoa; Chordata; Mammalia; Primates; Cebidae.
GCCAGACAUGGUGGUGUGUGCCUGUAGUCCCAGCUACUCAGGAGGCUAAGGCUGGAGGAUUGCUUGAUUACAGGAGUUCUGGGCUGUAGUGCCCUAUGCUGAUUGGGUGUCUGCACUAAGUUCCGCGUAAAUAUGGUGACCUUCUGGGAGUGGGGGACCACCUGGUUGCCUAAGGAGGGGUGAACCUGCCCAGGUCAGAAACAGAGGAGGUCAAAACUCCUGUGCUGAUCAGUAGUGGGAUUGCGCCUGUGAAUAGCCACUGCACUCCAGCCUGGGCAACAUAGCAAGACCCCGUCUCU